UACGAAGGGGGCUAGCGUUGCUCGGAAUCACUGGGCGUAAAGCGCACGUAGGCGGAUUGCUAAGUCAGGGGUGAAAUCCUGGAGCUCAACUCCAGAACUGCCUUUGAUACUGGCGACCUUGAGUCCGGGAGAGGUGAGUGGAACUCCUGGUGUAGCGGUGGAAUGCGCAGAUAUCAGGAAGAACACCAACGGCGAAGGCAGCUCGCUGGGACGGAACUGACGCUGAGGCGCGAAAGCGUGGGGAGCGAACAGG
RNAcentral lists this ribosomal RNA (253 nucleotides) under uncultured bacterium. RNAcentral's name for it is "partial 16S ribosomal RNA". It matches the Rfam family "Bacterial small subunit ribosomal RNA", at positions 524 to 776 of the family's 1533-position model. The record is from RNAcentral.